GUUGACUCUACAAGGUGUCGAAAGCAUUCCACAGGGAUGCUGGCCCAUGUUGACUCUACAAGGUGUCUAAAGCGUUCCACAGGGAUGCUGGCCCAUGUUGACUCUACAAGGUGUCUAAAGCGUUCCACAGGGAUGCUGGCCCAUGUUGACUCUACAAGGUGUUGAAAGCGUUCCACAGGGAUGCUGGCCCAUGUUGACUCUACAAGGUGUCGAAAGUGUUCCACAGGGAUGCUGGCCCAUGUUGACUCUACAAGGUGUUGAAAGCGUUCCACAGGGAUGCUGGCCCAUGUUGACUCUACAAGGUGUCGAAAGUGUUCCACAGGGAUGCUGGCCCAUGUUGACUCUACAAGGUGUUGAAAGCGUUCCACAGGGAUGCUGGCCCAUGUUGACUCUACAAGGUGUCGAAAGCGUUCCACAGGGAUGCUGGCCCAUGUUGACUCUACAAGGUGUUGAAAGCGUUCCACAGGGAUCCUGGCCCAUGUUGACUCU
Long non-coding RNA from Oncorhynchus keta (chum salmon), 489 nucleotides. RefSeq lists it as uncharacterized. The record is from RefSeq and is a predicted model, not a curated record. The transcript has 5 exons. Lineage: Eukaryota; Metazoa; Chordata; Actinopteri; Salmoniformes; Salmonidae.